CUACGGGUUGCAGCAGUGGGGAAUAUUGGACAAUGGGGGAAACCCUGAUCCAGCAAUGCCGCGUGUGUGAAGAAGGCCUGCGGGUUGUAAAGCACUUUCGGUUGGGAGGACUGCUUCUAGCACUAAUAUUGUUGGAAGUUGACGUUACCUUCAGAAGAAGCACCGGCUAACUCCGUGCCAGCAGCCGCGGGUAAUACGGAGGGUGCAAGCGUUAAUCGGAAUUACUGGGCGUAAAGCGCGCGUAGGCGGCUAGAUCAGUCGGGUGUGAAAGCCCCGGGCUUAACCUGGGAACUGCAUCCGAUACUGUCUAGCGUGAGUACAGGAGAGGAGAGUGGAAUUCCACAUGUAGCGGUGAAAUGCGUAGAUAUGUGGAGGAACACCAAUGGCGAAGGCAGCUCUCUGGCCUGAUACUGACGCUGAGGUGCGAAAGCGUGGGGAGCAAACAGGAUUAGAUACCCUUGUAGUC
RNAcentral lists this ribosomal RNA (466 nucleotides) under uncultured bacterium. RNAcentral's name for it is "partial 16S ribosomal RNA". It matches the Rfam family "Bacterial small subunit ribosomal RNA", at positions 339 to 795 of the family's 1533-position model. The record is from RNAcentral.